UGUUUGUAUAGUGUGUGUAUAUAAUGCAGUGUGUUUGUGUAGUGUGUAUUAUAUAAACACACUACACAAACACACUGCAUUAUAUACACACACUAUGCAAAC
Pelobates cultripes (western spadefoot toad) is the source of this 102-nucleotide non-coding RNA. NCBI's taxonomy places the organism in Eukaryota, Metazoa, Chordata, Amphibia, Anura, Pelobatidae. The record is from the annotation of a GenBank genome assembly.